RNAcentral lists this ribosomal RNA (325 nucleotides) under uncultured euryarchaeote. Its description in RNAcentral is "bacterial SSU rRNA". It matches the Rfam family "Archaeal small subunit ribosomal RNA", at positions 258 to 585 of the family's 1478-position model. Lineage: Archaea; Methanobacteriati; Methanobacteriota. The record is from RNAcentral.
CUACAAUCCGUACCGGCCUUGAGAGAGGGAGCCGGGAGAUGGAUACUGAGACAAAGAUCCAGGUCCUACGGGACGCAGCAGUUGCGAAAUCUCCGCAAUGCGCGCAAGCGUGGCGGGGGAACCCCAAGUGCCAUUGUACAACAAUGGCUUUUGUCUAGUGUAAACAGCUAGUCGAAUAAGGGCUGGGUAAGACCGGUGCCAGCCUCCGCGGUAACACCGGCAGCUCGAGUGGUGGUCGAAUUUAUUGGGCUUAAAGCGUCCGUAGUCGGUUGUGCAAGUCCUCUGUUAAAUCCUGCGGCUUAACCGUAGGGUCGCAGAGGAUACU